RNAcentral lists this long non-coding RNA (1468 nucleotides) under Homo sapiens (human). RNAcentral describes it as "HSALNT0133874". Lineage: Eukaryota; Metazoa; Chordata; Mammalia; Primates; Hominidae. The record is from RNAcentral.
CCCCUUGAACGUUGUCCUAGAUCAUCUCUAGUGCUUGGGUUGAGACCUUUCUGAACCAGGUGACAGAGGGUAAUGGAGAAAGGUUUUCCCAAGAGAAACUCUGGGAAGCCAUUGACGAGCAGAAAGCGCGCGGAGUGGCAGGGGUCAUUACCGUCGUUACUGGCAGUAAUGAUGCGGCUGGUUCCACGUGAUGAGAGCUUCCUGCUUUCCAGUAUGUGCAGCAAAACUCAGAUUAAGAUUUUGGUGCUGGUGUCCACUGAAUUUUAAAAGCUCAUCAAAAUUCCCAAGGCCGGGUGCAACCUUUUCAAGUGUGGCUCUAACCUGCAUCUAUCUAAGCACCAGUCAAGCCCGUUGCAUCCACAGCUCAACUUCAGGCCUUGGGGAGCAUUUUUCUAAUAGAUUUUGAGGUCCCACUGUGCCUUCACCAGGACAUACUGUUCCACUCCUGCGUGCCACCCCUACGUAUUUACUGAUCUUCUUAAGUCAUUCUCUAGUUUUUUACUCCAUCCGUCAGCACCAUGGUGAUCUUCACCUACUGUUUGUUCCUGGAACCCUGGGCAGGAAUCUGCCAUUCACGUUCAUAAGAGCUCUCCGGGUCUUCCUCAACAAUAUCUUCUUGGAUGCCCUUUAUUGGCAACCCUGCAUGGUAGCAAUAUUUAAUUUUCUUACAUUCAGAGUGAUUAUAUAUAACCUAUCCAGAUGUCAGGCAUGGACAAGGCAAAAUUCAAACCCUUGUCUGCUGACUGCAAGUUCUGCCAUAUUUUCACCUACUAUGUUGUUUUCUUUUUCUGAACUUAUGUCUGCUAGCAGAGCAGGAAGGAACAGAGAAGAUACCCUUCAGGAUCAUCCAGUACUGUGGAGCAGGCGCCUCCAGGACAGCCUCCCCUUCUCCUUGCUUUCCUCCACCCACCUGGGACAGAACUUUGCACUUGCCGAAGUACUUUCCCAUGGCGUAUCUUCUUUGAUUGUAAACUGAGCUAUGUAGGGUCCUGUCUCAUGUAGCACACUGUAGUGUGAUGUCUGCUGACAUGCCCACUACCCCAUACAGAGGGAACUAUUUGGAAAAUUGGAUAUUCAAUCACACAGCAGGCUUGACCAGCCUGGAUUUUCCUCACUGAAGUUUUGACGACACUGUUACGGCCAGCACAGCCACUCCUGGAUGCGACUCUAGAAAGGAUUUUGAUGGCCAACAACCUUUCAUAGCUCUGCAGUCUUUGGGCAUCAAUCACCAGGGGAGUCUUGGCAACCAGUGAACCCCAUCCACGGAGUAGGUCCUGAUACUGAGGAUUCUGUCCUCAAGCUUUUCUACCAAAACUAACCUCCUCAAUGCCCUAUAUGGCAAAGGAUCCUGUUUCUGUUACAGAGGGUCUAGCUGUCUCAAUGAAGAUUUAGCAUUAAUAGUUAACAAAACCUCAGAAUGCUCAAUGCAUUCUUUACACUGAACAAAAGCUCCUUCAAACUCCUUAAC